Molecule: long non-coding RNA, 1423 nt
Organism: Stegostoma tigrinum
Lineage: Eukaryota; Metazoa; Chordata; Chondrichthyes; Orectolobiformes; Stegostomatidae
Exons: 3
Source: RefSeq, a predicted model, not a curated record
CCUCGUAGCCCAUGAUAACAUACUCCUCGUUGGUUUUAAUUUCAGGGCAGAGACACGCCGAACUCGUGUGAAGCGUGACCGUUUCCUUCGGAAUAUUCACCAGGGAGGAUUUCAAGACAUCUUUCACCUCCACCGUCGUGGCGACGUCGUGACAUUUAUUUCUCACUUCUUUCACUUUGGCGCGAAUGACUGGAAUGAGUUUCCCAAAACAAAUAAACAGCACACUGAGCACACUGGUGGCUGCAGCCCAUUUCAUUUCCUCUACCCUCACUCACUUUGGUGGGGAAAGCAGUUGGAGGAAGCCCUGGGCUGUCUGCCAGCAAAUUGACCGCUUUUACCAAAUUUGUGCAAAGUCGGUGUAAGUAAAGGCGCGACAGGAAUCCUAAUGCUUUCUGUGUCAAACUUCUAUAGUUUACCCAGCAAUUAACUCGGCAUUUCUUAGUCAAGGAUGAAAACAAUGCUGGCUAAGUGGGAAUGAGGGCGUCACUGACUAGGCAGCAUUUAUUGUCCACCCCUAUUUGCCCAGAGGACAGUUCAGUGUCAACCACAUUGCUGUGGGUCUGAGGUCACACGCAAGCCAGUGCAGAACACACACUAAGCCCGAACUGAUGUCAUCUUUAUUCCAUGAGUGAACUAUCUGCAGAACAGAAAAGGCUUUUCUAACUGAUGAGUACAGUAAUGCCUUUUUAUUUGUUGUACAAAAAGUUAACACCAUGUAUACACAGACAUGUCCAAGAAUGGGUGCUGUACAUUAUCCAGACUUUGAGCUGUUUAGAACCACAAUCUUCUUGGCGCUGAUCAAAGUGUGAACCAUCUGGUUAGCUUCACAGUAAACAAACUAACCAAACCCUUGCUGCCAGUUUGCAUGAUCGUCAAAAAGAGACUUAUUUUUGUCGCUUUGUCUUGUUUAGUAUUUCUCUUUGAUGUAAUUGUGCCCAUAAUGUUCUUGCUAACACAAGUUAUUUGGGUCAAUUUCUCUUUUGGGCUGCGUUUGGCUCCAGAUGCUGUCAUACUACAUAUUAUCACGACAAUCUGAUAAAUUAUAUCUUAUUUGUUUAAAGUAACCUGGUGGUGACUAACAUCUUAAUUUACAACAGUUAAAAUUGUCUUGAAAAUAUGCAGUAUCUAAUUAUAUGAAUGUUAGAUUUCGUGAAGCUUCUUUGUGAAUCAGCAUGCUUUUUAAAAAUAAAAUUUUGCCAAAUAAGCACACUGUUAAUAUGACAAUUAAAGACCAGUAAGUAGAGCCAUCCACUUCUUUAAAGUGUCGAAAUGCAUCGACAGCAAAGCCUCUUCCUUUCACACUGCUCGAGAUUCCGUGAAUCUAACCAGAAUUGAAUACUAUUGCUGGCGUUUAAAAGGGGAAUGCUGUUUACAAUUGUAGUACAAACUUGUGCCUGAGUAGAGUCUUAUAUUGCUGUGUAAA